Rana temporaria (common frog) is the source of this 411-nucleotide long non-coding RNA. RefSeq lists it as uncharacterized. The transcript is spliced from 3 exons. NCBI's taxonomy places the organism in Eukaryota, Metazoa, Chordata, Amphibia, Anura, Ranidae. The record is from RefSeq and is a predicted model, not a curated record.
CCUGGAUGAUCGUUGAUUUGGAUAAAGUGUACAGACAGAUCACAUUAGAGGGAAGGGAGUGUGCUGCCUAUGAGCAGUGAACAGCUGGGACAGAGCUGAUUGCAGGGUGGACUCCACCUCCCCUGCUGCUUUCAGACAUAACAGCUUCCUGGCCCUCUGGAAAGGAGCUCAGUGCAAGCCCCUUCUUAAAAGCUACCCAAAGCUAUUUCCAGGACCACACAUGGCUCUUGUCAAACUUUAACACCCCUUUACACUAAAGCUUCAUGGUACCCACUAGGGCAAUGGACCUGCCUUACAUUAAGGCUACUAUUGGCUGUGCAGUGUUCUUGAAGAAUAUGACAUACCUGAAGUCUGGCGUUCAUGCUUGAAGUGAAAUAAAAUUGGUAUAGGCCCCUCUUCCACCUCACCAUA